This 202-nucleotide ribosomal RNA is filed under the name uncultured bacterium. Its description in RNAcentral is "partial 16S ribosomal RNA". It matches the Rfam family "Bacterial small subunit ribosomal RNA", at positions 524 to 725 of the family's 1533-position model. The record is from RNAcentral.
UACGGAGGGAGCAAGCGUUAAUCGGAAUUACUGGGCGUAAAGCGCACGCAGGCGGUUUGUUAAGUUAGAAGUCAAAUCCCCAGGCUCAACCUGUGAAAUGCAUUUGAUACUGGCAAGCUUGAGUCUCGUAGAGGGGGGUAGAAUUCCAGGUGUAGCGGUGAAAUGCGUAGAUAUCUGGAGGAAUACCGGUGGCGAAGGCGGC